RNAcentral lists this ribosomal RNA (429 nucleotides) under Bacteroidota bacterium. RNAcentral's name for it is "Bacteroidetes bacterium partial 16S ribosomal RNA". It matches the Rfam family "Bacterial small subunit ribosomal RNA", at positions 355 to 776 of the family's 1533-position model. Lineage: Bacteria; Pseudomonadati; Bacteroidota. The record is from RNAcentral.
UAGGGAAUCUUCCGCAAUGGACGCAAGUCUGACGGAGCAACGCCGCGUGAGUGAAGAAGGAUUUCGGUUUGUAAAACUCUGUUGUUAGAGAAGAACAGCGCAUAGAGUAACUGUUAUGCGUGUGACGGUAUCUAACCAGAAAGCCACGGCUAACUACGUGCCAGCAGCCGCGGUAAUACGUAGGUGGCAAGCGUUGUCCGGAUUUAUUGGGCGUAAAGCGAGCGCAGGCGGUCAAUUAAGUCUGAUGUGAAAGCCCCCGGCUCAACCGGGGAGGGGCAAUGGAAACUGGUUGACUUGAGUGCAGAAGAGGAGGGUGGAAUUCCAUGUGUAGCGGUUAAAUGCGUAGAUAUAUUGAGGAACACCAGUGGCGAAGGCGACUCUCUGGUCUGUAACUGACGCUGAGGCUCGAAAGCGUGGGUAGCAAACAGG